RNAcentral lists this ribosomal RNA (301 nucleotides) under uncultured bacterium. Its description in RNAcentral is "partial 16S ribosomal RNA". It matches the Rfam family "Bacterial small subunit ribosomal RNA", at positions 509 to 807 of the family's 1533-position model. The record is from RNAcentral.
CAGUCGCCGCGGUAAUACGUAGGGUGCAAGCGUUGUCCGGAAUUAUUGGGCGUAAAGGGCUCGCAGGCGGUUUCUUAAGUCUGAUGUGAAAGCCCCUGGCUCAACCGGGGAGGGUCAUUGGAAACUGGGAAACUUGAGUGCAGAAGAGGAGAUUGGAAUUCCACGUGUAGCGGUGAAAUGCGUAGAGAUGUGGAGGAACACCAGUGGCGAAGGCGACUCUCUGGUCUGUAACUGACGCUGAGGAGCGAAAGCGUGGGGAGCGAACAGGAUUAGAUACCCCUGUAGUCCCUGUCUCUUAUAC